This 774-nucleotide ribosomal RNA is filed under the name uncultured Neocallimastigales. Its description in RNAcentral is "partial large subunit ribosomal RNA". It matches the Rfam family "Eukaryotic large subunit ribosomal RNA", at positions 20 to 649 of the family's 3401-position model. Lineage: Eukaryota; Fungi; Neocallimastigomycota; Neocallimastigomycetes; Neocallimastigales. The record is from RNAcentral.
UACUAGAGUAGCACUCGCAUAUCAAUAAGCGGAGGAAAAGAAACUAACAAGGAUUCCCCUAGUAACGGCGAGUGAAGCGGGAAGAGCUCAAAUUUGAAAUCUUAAAGGGUUUCCCUUUACGAAUUGUAGUUUAAAGAAGUGUUUUCUGUUGAGGUUUUGGUAAAAGUUCUUUGGAAUAGGACAUCAUAGAGGGUGAGAAUCCCGUAUUUGACCUUUACUUUCAACUUUGUGAUACACUUUCAAAGAGUCGGAUUGUUUGGGAAUGCAGUCCAAAAUGGGUGGUAAAUUUCAUCUAAAGCUAAAUAUUGGCGAGAGACCGAUAGCGAACAAGUACCGUGAGGGAAAGAUGAAAAGAACUUUGAAAAGAGAGUUAAACAGUACGUGAAAUUGUCAAAAGGGAAGCGUUUGACACCAGUGUUGUUUUUCUGAAAAUCAAUUAAAGAACUGUUUAUGCUAAGCUGUUUAGACUUUAUCAGCUAUCUGUUUAGUUUUGAGCUUUUCUUUAAUGCACUUUUCAGUUAACAAGUCAACAUCAAUUUCUUUUGCUGUAAAAAAGCUUGAGGAAGGUGGCUUGAGAUUCGUCUUAAGUGUUUAUAGCCUCUUGCCUAUGCAGUCGGAGAGAUUGAGGUCUGCAGCGUAGAUCCUUCGGGGCUAAAUGCAUUUGUGCUAAGUUAUAGCAUUUUAUAGACAACUUGCUGACUAUGAUUUGUCUUGUAGCUUACUCGCUUAUGUUAUUUUACCUACGCUUAGGAUGUUGAGUAGCGACAUACGCAC